CCUCCGGGGCGCAGCAGUGGGGGAUAUUGCACAAUGGGGGAAACCCUGAUGCAGCGACGCCGCGUGUGGGAAGACGGUCCUCUGGAUUGUAAACCACUGUCCCCAGGGACGAAGAUGACGGUACCUGGGGAGGAAGCUCCGGCUAACUACGUGCCAGCAGCCGCGGUAAUACGUAGGGAGCAAGCGUUGUCCGGAAUUACUGGGUGUAAAGGGAGCGUAGGCGGGCGAGAAAGUUGAAUGUUAAAUCUACCGGCUUAACUGGUAGCUGCGUUCAAAACUUCUUGUCUUGAGUGAAGUAGAGGCAGGCGGAAUGCCUAGUGUAGCGGUGAAAGGCGUAGAUAGUAGGAGGAACACCAGUGGCGAAGGCGGCCUGCUGGGCUUUAACUGACGCUGAGGCUCGAAAGCGUGGGGAGCAAACAGGAUUAGAUACCCCAGUAGUC
Molecule: ribosomal RNA, 440 nt
Filed under: uncultured bacterium
Lineage: Bacteria
Description: partial 16S ribosomal RNA
Rfam family: Bacterial small subunit ribosomal RNA
Source: RNAcentral